AGAGUUUGAUUCUGGCUCAGGAUGAACGCUAGCUACAGGCUUAACACAUGCAAGUCGAGGGGUAGCAGGGUAGCGAUACCGCUGACGACCGGCGCACGGGUGAGUAACACGUAUCCAACCUUCCCAUAACUCAGGGAUAGCCUUUCGAAAGAAAGAUUAAUACCUGAUAGUACUUUUUCAAGGCAUCUUGAGAAAGUUAAAGAUUUAUUGGUUAUGGAUGGGGAUGCGUUCCAUUAGAUAGUUGGUGAGGUAACGGCUCACCAAGUCUUCGAUGGAUAGGGGUUCUGAGAGGAAGGUCCCCCACAUUGGUACUGAGACACGGACCAAACUCCUACGGGAGGCAGCAGUGAGGAAUAUUGGUCAAUGGGCGAGAGCCUGAACCAGCCAAGUAGCGUGAAGGAAUGAAGGUCCUAUGGAUUGUAAACUUCUUUUAUAGUAGAAUAAAGUGAUCCACGUGUGGAUUUUUGUAUGUAUACUAUGAAUAAGGAUCGGCUAACUCCGUGCCAGCCGCGGC
Molecule: ribosomal RNA, 514 nt
Filed under: uncultured bacterium
Lineage: Bacteria
Description: bacterial SSU rRNA
Rfam family: Bacterial small subunit ribosomal RNA
Source: RNAcentral